This 144-nucleotide long non-coding RNA is filed under the name Chloebia gouldiae (Gouldian finch). Its description in RNAcentral is "Erythrura gouldiae (Gouldian finch) lncRNA (ENSEGOG00005008899.1)". The record is from RNAcentral. Lineage: Eukaryota; Metazoa; Chordata; Aves; Passeriformes; Passeridae.
AGUGAGCUCAGCUGAAAUCUCCAGGAGGAAAACUAACAUUGCUUUUACCUCAGGCAAAGACCCAGGGAACAGUGUGGAAAUGUCAUAGUUUCAGCUGCAGCAACAAUGUAUGAAGAGGAAACACUAUAAAGAGGAACAAAGAGG